CAAAAGAAGGGCGGGGCUACCAUGCAGUCGACGAUGAAGCCCAGCUUGCUGGGUGGAUUAGUGGCGAACGGGUGAGUAACACGUGAGUAACCUGCCCUUGACUCUAGGAUAAGCCCGGGAAACUGGGUCUAAUACUGGAUAGGAACGUCUACCGCAUGGUGGGUGUUGGAAAGAAUUUCGGUCAUGGAUGGACUCGCGGCCUAUCAGCUUGUUGGUGAGGUAAUGGCUCACCAAGGCGACGACGGGUAGCCGGCCUGAGAGGGUGACCGGCCACACUGGGACUGAGACACGGCCCAGACUCCUACGGGAGGCAGCAGUGGGGAAUAUUGCACAAUGGGCGAAAGCCUGAUGCAGCGACGCCGCGUGAGGGAUGACGGCCUUCGGGUUGUAAACCUCUUUCAGUAGGGAAGAAGCGAAAGUGACGGUACCUGCAGAAGAAGCACCGGCUAACUACGUGCCAGCAGCCGCGGUAAUACGUAGGGUGCGAGCGUUAUCCGGAAUUAUUGGGCGUAAAGAGCUCGUAGGCGGUUUGUCGCGUCUGUCGUGAAAGUCCGGGGCUUAACCCCGGAUCUGCGGUGGGUACGGGCAGACUAGAGUGCAGUAGGGGAGACUGGAAUUCCUGGUGUAGCGGUGGAAUGCGCAGAUAUCAGGAGGAACACCGAUGGCGAAGGCAGGUCUCUGGGCUGUAACUGACGCUGAGGAGCGAAAGCAUGGGGAGCGAACAGGAUUAGAUACCCUGGUAGUCCAUGCCGUAAACGUUGGGCACUAGGUGUGGGGAACAUUCCACGUUUUCCGCGCCGCAGCUAACGCAUUAAGUGCCCCGCCUGGGGAGUACGGCCGCAAGGCUAAAACUCAAAGGAAUUGACGGGGGCCCGCACAAGCGGCGGAGCAUGCGGAUUAAUUCGAUGCAACGCGAAGAACCUUACCAAGGCUUGACAUGUUCUCGAUCGCCGUAGAGAUACGGUUUCCCCUUUGGGGCGGGUUCACAGGUGGUGCAUGGUUGUCGUCAGCUCGUGUCGUGAGAUGUUGGGUUAAGUCCCGCAACGAGCGCAACCCUCGUUCCAUGUUGCCAGCACUUCGGGUGGGGACUCAUGGAGACUGCCGGGGUCAACCUCGGAGGAGGUGGGGACGACGUCAAAUCAUCAUGCCCCUUAUGUCCUGGGCUUCACGCAUGCUACAAUGGCCGGGUACAAUGUC
RNAcentral lists this ribosomal RNA (1197 nucleotides) under Micrococcus antarcticus. Its description in RNAcentral is "bacterial SSU rRNA". It matches the Rfam family "Bacterial small subunit ribosomal RNA", at positions 30 to 1246 of the family's 1533-position model. The record is from RNAcentral. Lineage: Bacteria; Bacillati; Actinomycetota; Actinomycetes; Micrococcales; Micrococcaceae.